UACGUAGGGGGCUAGCGUUGUCCGGAAUCAUUGGGCGUAAAGCGCGUGUAGGCGGUCCGGUAAGUCCGCUGUGAAAGUCGGGGGCUCAACCCUCGGAUGCCGGUGGAUACUGUCGGGCUUGAGUACGGAAGAGGCGAGUGGAAUUCCUGGUGUAGAGGUGAAAUUCGUAGAUAUUGGGAAGAACACCGGUGGCGAAGGCGGCUAUCUGGCCCGUAAUUGACGCUGAGGCGCGAAAGCGUGGGGAGCAAACAGG
Molecule: ribosomal RNA, 253 nt
Filed under: uncultured bacterium
Lineage: Bacteria
Description: partial 16S ribosomal RNA
Rfam family: Bacterial small subunit ribosomal RNA
Source: RNAcentral